CCCGCUGAACUUAAGCAUAUCAAUAAGCGGAGGAAAAGAAACUAACAAGGAUUCCCCUAGUAACGGCGAGUGAAGCGGGAUGAGCUCAAAUUUAAAAUCUGGCUGGUUUACUAGUCCGAAUUGUAGUUUAUAGAAGCGUUUUCGGUGGCAGCCUGGGUAUAAAUCCUUUGGAAUAGGGUAUCAUAGAGGGUGAGAAUCCCGUCUUUGACACGGACUGCCAGGGCUUUUGUGAUGCGCUCUCAAAGAGUCGAGUUGUUUGGGAAUGCAGCUCAAAAUGGGUGGUAAAUUUCAUCUAAAGCUAAAUAUUGGCGAGAGACCGAUAGCGAACAAGUACCGUGAGGGAAAGAUGAAAAGAACUUUGAAAAGAGAGUUAAACAGUGCGUGAAAUUGCUGAAAGGGAAACGCUUGAAGUCAGUCGCGUCAUCCAGGGAUCAACCUUGCUUUUGCUUGGUGUACUUUCUGGUUGACGGGUCAGCAUCAAUUUUGACCAUUGGAAAAAGAUAAAGGGAAUGUGGCAUACAUAGUGAUGUGUUACAGCCCUUGGUUGCAUACAAUGGUUGGGAUUGAGGAACUCAGCACGCCGCAAGGCCGGGUUUUUAUUAACCACGUACGUGCUUAGGAUGUUGGCAUAAUGGCUUUAAUCGACCCGUCUUGAAACACGG
This 662-nucleotide ribosomal RNA is filed under the name uncultured fungus. RNAcentral's name for it is "eukaryotic LSU rRNA". It matches the Rfam family "Eukaryotic large subunit ribosomal RNA", at positions 24 to 664 of the family's 3401-position model. Lineage: Eukaryota; Fungi. The record is from RNAcentral.